GGGCAAUCACAGAGGGAUAUAGGUGUCUAUACAAACUGCACUUCUUUAACCUCAGAGGAAUCUUUCCCAUCUCCACCAUGCCGAUGAAAUGACGGCUUCUCCAGGCAUGUGGGUGAAUAGAAUUGUACUGCACAUCUUUCUUGUGGUGCUAUCUCUGGAUGUCUGUCAGGUUUAUGAAAAUGUGACUGGGAACUGUACUGUUGAACUUCAGGUUACAAGAGGUUACAGAUAUGAUGGAAAACCUGGGGACUCCCUCAGUAUAGAGUGUCCAGUGAAGUACUGCACGGAAAAGCCAGCCAUGAACUGGUGCAAGAUAGAGGGGAUGCACUGCUUACUUCUGAAAAAUGAGUCAAACAUGCACACAGCUUGGGGAGAAGGGAAAGUGUUUGUUCUGAACUUUGUACCUGUUCAUCAAAACAACAGUGGAUUAUAUCGUUGUCGAGCUACUAUGGGCAGCUUAAGCAGUCAGAGCCAUUCAGUAACAGUUCAUGUUCAAGAAGUGACUGCAAAUGCCCCCACAAAUCCACCAUCAAAGGAAUUUGCAGGUGCCACUAAUGUCACAGAAGCUCCUCAAGGACCUAGCAACAACAAUAAGAAGUGGAUUAUUUAUGCCCUACCAUCUCUGGGGGCAUUGUGUCUCCUCAUCCUUAUCUGCUUAUGCCUGUUGUGUUGUCUGCGGUGGCACCAAGUGAAACCCAAGACAACCCCAGUAACCUCACAGAAGGAAAUGAACAUGGUCAGCAGAUCUACAUGUACUCCAGACCACACCGAUAGGACCACGCAUGACCCCAGUGAAGGAUCUACACUUUACUAUUGCUCCAUGGCUAGCCUGCAGCAGCCAUCGGAUGACAGCACAAUUUAUGAUAAUCACGUCCCUCACUGGAAUGGUAGCAGGGCAGCAACUGGCAACGCCUGUGACAGUGCUGCUGUUGAUUCCUACCAGCCCUCAUAUGAGGGAGAAGAUGUCCUUGUUUAUGCUUCACUAAACCAUUCUAGUAUUAUAGAAAAGCUCCCGAGAAAGGAGCAGGAUGUGGAAAUUGAACUUACAGAGUAUGCCACCGUUUGUGUGAAGAAAUAGCUCUGGCAAUGACAUCUCUUUAACUUGGCCAGCACCAUAACGUUACAUGUCCUACAGUGACUCCAGCUUUACAGCAGGAGCAUAAGUACACCUUCUUCCAAACAAAGAGGAACUCUCAUCAGUAAAAGCAUGCUGAUUUUUAUGAUAUGUGCUAGAAUUCACACUUAAGCGAAGUCCACGUUCAUACUUGGAUAUUAGCAACCACAUCUUUGUUAUCUUCCAUGUGGAUUCAUUUGAAGCUUUCAUAUUCCAGGAACCCCCUGCUCUGAUCAAAGCACUGCCCAGAACAAAGUCAGAGUUUGGACAGGAUCAAUAAAAACUGAAUAAUAAAGAUGAACAGACAUCAUGUUGAUAAGACGUAUUACAGGUGAAUGGAUGGCUCAGCCUGUUCAGAUGGAAGCACAGACUGCAGGUGAACAUGGAAUUCACUUUUCCAUGGAGAGCCAUGACUCGGGAAGCCAAACACCAGCAGUUUGCUGAAUGCUGCUGUUCGCCUUCUUACAUGUAAAAUGGACAGCCACCGCAUCACCUGAUUCUCAAACAACUCUACUACCUUCCUAUUUAGUUCAGGAGACAGCUAGAAAUUGCUCUAAUUUUUAAAAACUUUCUAUGGACUUACUCUGUCCUUCUUCUCUGCCACUUUGUUCCUCCCAACCACACUCUUCUCAUGGCCUUCUCCACAUCCCAUCAUAUCAUCUCAAAACAGUUGGCAAAAAGAGCCUCGUCCUUCAUAGAUCCUGCCAUCUCCUUCCCCUUUCAAAAUCUUAUCUGAAACAUAUUGUGUCCCUGGUUUAUACCAACUGAUUUCACGUUUAACUACAUUGUUUGUCUAUGUAGAGAGCCUGGGAUACAAUUGCAUGAAAGAUAUUAUCAAGACCAAUAUGUAUUGUGCUGCUGAGCUGAUAAACAAACAGGAAAAAUGACUAAAGGUAUAUCUACACAGCAAAGAAAAACUGCUGGCUGGCUCAUGCCAAACAACUCAGGCUAUGGGGCUGUAUCAUUGCUCUGCAGACUUCUGGGUUUAUGCUGGAACCCAAGCUCUGGACUCUCCCACCUUGCAGGGUCCUAGAGUCUGGACUCUAGCCAAAGAGGUCUACACAGUAAUGAAACAGCUGCACAACCUGAGUUGGCUGGCAUCGGCCAGCCACAAGUUUUUGUUGCUGUGCAGACAUACCCUACCUGUCAGUUUAUUUAUUUCCUAUAAGUAUUUUAUUUGUGAACAGGCUGAUUUUUUAUUUAUUCACUUUUCCAUAACUAUUUGAUGAACAGUUUAUGUGGUCAAAUUUCAGCGUACAGGUUGUUCACAAAUUGUUCUUUUAAAGUAUUCAUAAUUGGCUUUCCUGGGACUCUGAUUGGUUAUUUAAGUCACAUGAUACUGCUUUUGCUCGCCGACUAAAAGAUGGAACUUUUUUGAACAGGGUAACAAUGAAUGAUGAGUAAUAAAUGUUCUCACUCAGGCUUGAUCAGCUUUUAGUGGCAAGUAAGUGUGGGUAAGUAGCAUACAAACAGCUUUUCUCCAAACACUGGCACACAAAAGAAGCCAUUCACGUCAAACUUUGUGAAUACAAAGGGGACACUAGAAUGCCAUUUUAAAUUUGAAAGAAUGUUUGCAACAUUGGGUUACACCAUUUGUUCAGCUCUUGCUCUGAUACCAUGCAUCUGGUACUGCAAAAAAUGUACUUAGGAAGAAAAUUACUCAUUGCAAUAUUCAUAUCAACAGCUUAGUGCUUCAACAAUGAGAGUCUUCUAGCUUGGUUAAAAUUCAGACCACAAUUCAAAAGGAAGGAUGUACUACAUCUAUCGUUCACAGGGUGCAAGUAACAUACCAGAUGAUUUGUGCUCAAGUUAAUGGAAAAGAGAAAUGCUUGUAUCUUAUCUCUGUACUAUGUCAGCGAGCACCACAGAUAUUAACAGGUUCUUCAUCAUUCUUUUCGAUUGCUAAUAAAGAAUAUUUAUUAUUCUUA
RNA transcript from Gopherus flavomarginatus (Mexican gopher tortoise), 3042 nucleotides. It is a transcript of the gene named B and T lymphocyte associated, with no coding region annotated. The record is from RefSeq and is a predicted model, not a curated record. NCBI's taxonomy places the organism in Eukaryota, Metazoa, Chordata, Testudines, Testudinidae. The transcript is spliced from 7 exons.